CUAAAAAGUCAGCCGGCCUAGCACCACUAACAACUCUUCAAGCCCACAACUAAACCAUUAGCCAUAUCAAGUAUCAGAGACAGAAAAAUAGCACCCGCGCGAUAGCCAAAAGUACCACAUGGGAACACUGAAAGAAAACUUAACAUCCAAGCACAAAACAGCAGGGCCAUUAACCCGUACCUCUUGCAUCAUGGUUUAACAAGCACCCCCAGAUAAAGCGUACUUUAACCUGCCCCCCCGAAUCCAGACGAUCUACCACAGAGCAGUCAAUUAGGAUACACCCCCCUCUGUGGCAAAAGAGCGGGAAGACUUUGUGGUAGCGGUGAAACGCCAAUCGAGCCUGGUGAUAGCUGGUUGCUCAUCAAACGAAUCUAAGUUCGACUCUAGCCAAACCCCAAUGACCACCUACACUCAUGUGGUGCCUAGAAGUUAUACAAUUAGGGGACAGCCUAAUUGUAACCGGACACAGCCACAGCUGGAGGGACAGGACCACUCUCACACCCAGUAGGCCCUUAAGCAGCCACCAGACAACACCGCGUCAAAGCAGCACACACAAAAAUCUCUACACUCAACCCCACCCCCCACACGAAACCGAGCUACCCUAGACAAAAACUAGAGGAAACACUGUUAAAACUAGUAAUAAGAACCAACUCUCUUCUGCACACCCUUACACCGGCACGGACUUACCACCGGUAAUUAACAACCAAAAACCGCCCACCACAUGUCACCCCAACACAGGAGUGCCCCAAAGAUCAGGCAAACUGUCACAGAAGGAACUCGGCUAAUAUGCCCCACCUGUUUACCAAAAACAUCGCCUUUAGCCAAACAAGUAUUAAAGGUACCGCCUGCCCAGUGAACCCCCUUAAACGGCCGCGGUACUCUAACCGUGCAAAGGUAGCGUAAUCACUUGCCCCCUAAAUAGGGGCUAGUAUGAACGGCUAAAUGAGGGCCUAACUGUCUCCUGCGACAAGCCAAUGAAACUGCUCUCUCAGUACAAAAGCUGAGAUACACCCACAAGACGAGAAGACCCUGUGGAGCUUAUAAAUGCUACACUAACACCNCCAAAAACCCCCCCCCCCAUAGUGCUAACUUUUAGUUGGGGCGACUACGGAGACAACCCAAACCUCCAUGAGACAAGGCCUCACUGCCUAAGGCACACAAGCCAAGGGUACUUAUAGCCUCUUGACCCAGCACCGCUGAACAACGGACCAAGUUACCCCAGGGAUAACAGCGCAAUCCUCCCCAAGAGUCCAUAUCGCCAGGAGGGUUUACGACCUCGAUGUUGGAUCAGG
Molecule: ribosomal RNA, 1292 nt
Filed under: Phyllodactylus reissii
Lineage: Eukaryota; Metazoa; Chordata; Lepidosauria; Squamata; Phyllodactylidae
Description: partial 16S ribosomal RNA
Rfam family: Bacterial large subunit ribosomal RNA
Source: RNAcentral